This 578-nucleotide unclassified non-coding RNA is filed under the name Hevea brasiliensis (rubber tree). The record is from RNAcentral. Lineage: Eukaryota; Viridiplantae; Streptophyta; Magnoliopsida; Malpighiales; Euphorbiaceae.
UGAAAGUUUAGAGAUUACAAGAUUCUACACAAAGCUUGAAACCCAUAUUAACAACUAGAUAAUAUGGAAGUCAGGACUCAAGAGUACAAAACAACUUCAAGGCAACCCGACUGGAUCAUCUGCAAACUCGUCGAAACAUAUACUCUACCUCGGUUGCUGAAUCUUCCGUUGUCUCACUUUCACAUCCACAAUCUUGGGUGCCUUCUCCAUAUACCUCGUUGCCUGAGCCAGCUGAGCUCGACCCUUUUGCCUUUUCAUCACUCCCACUGAACCCAAAUCCCUGCUUCGCUCGUUUUUCUCCAGUUUGUGGAUGCAAGUAUCAUGGACGUAGAGGUCGAAGAGGAGAGAAUCGAGGUCGUAAACAUCGUUGGUAAGAGAUUCAAUUCGGCGGUCGAAUACGCGUUUUAUUGCCAUUAUAUCGGGAUUCACUGCUGAUGCGUAGUCCAUUGUGUCGAUUAUUGCCAUUAUAUCUCCUUUUUCUUUUUCUAUGCAAUGCUCCACCAUUGCCACUCUGAAACAAAGAAAAAUGAAAAAAAUAAUCUGAUCUUGAAAGCAGAGAGAGAGAGAGAGAGAGAGAG